This 501-nucleotide ribosomal RNA is filed under the name uncultured bacterium. RNAcentral describes it as "partial 16S ribosomal RNA". It matches the Rfam family "Bacterial small subunit ribosomal RNA", at positions 30 to 523 of the family's 1533-position model. The record is from RNAcentral.
AUUGAACGCUGGCGGCAUGCUUUACACAUGCAAGUCGAACGGUAACAGGGUGCUUGCACCGCUGACGAGUGGCGAACGGGUGAGUAAUGCGUCGGAACGUGCCGAGUAGUGGGGGAUAACGCAGCGAAAGUUGUGCUAAUACCGCAUACGUACUGAGGUAGAAAGUGGGGGACCUUCGGGCCUCACGCUAUUCGAGCGGCCGACGUCUGAUUAGCUAGUAGGUGAGGUAAAGGCUCACCUAGGCGACGAUCAGUAGCGGGUCUGAGAGGAUGGUCCGCCACACUGGGACUGAGACACGGCCCAGACUCCUACGGGAGGCAGCAGUGGGGAAUUUUGGAAAAUGGGCGAAAGCCUGAUCCAGCCAUGCCGCGUGUCUGAAGAAGGCCUUUUGGUUGUAAAGCACUUUAAGCGAGGAGGAGGCUACUAGUACUAAUACUACUGGAUAGUGGACGUUACUCGCAGAAUAAGCACCGGCUAACUCUGUGCCAGCAGCCGCAGUAA